This is a long non-coding RNA of Lates calcarifer (barramundi perch), 694 nucleotides long. RefSeq lists it as uncharacterized. The transcript is spliced from 3 exons. NCBI's taxonomy places the organism in Eukaryota, Metazoa, Chordata, Actinopteri, Centropomidae. The record is from RefSeq and is a predicted model, not a curated record.
UUUGAAAUUACUUUUCUUGUUGUGUCUGUUAAGGUUUUGUUUCCUGUGUUUUUCCCUCCAGUGUCUCUUCCCCUCACCUGUUCCCACUUCCCCAAUCAGCCCUGCAGUCACAGCUUCCUGUUCCUUGGAUUCCUUGUUGCUCCUUGAUGGAUUUGUUUUCCUGUGUUGUACUGCCUUCUUUGGAUCUUCAACUUCUCCAUCUCCAUCUACCUUACUUCUCUAAUUGGAACACCAUCUGAAUCAGCUAUCAUGGAAGCCACUGCUCUUCUGUGGCCAACACAGACAAUGAUGGCCACAGCAGACCCUGGAUUAAUUACGCUGAGGUAGGAGUCAUCACUUCACAACUUCUAAUUAACAGCAGAUAAAAGGAGUGAGGAGGAGAAAGGGAUGACAGCAAGACAGGAUUUGGCAUUAAACUGGCAGCAUUUCCAUUACAAGGAAGACUGAGCACUGAGCACCCAGCACUACAGCUGUAAUUCAGUUAGCAUGGCUGUCUUCAGGAUUAAUUCUGAGAAACACAAGCACUAAGAACUAACAGCCAGUUGUCUUAAAUAUUGCGUAAGGUAUACAGAUGCUCCACAAGUUCAUGCAUGCAGUAUAUUUACCACUCUGCUUUCCAUCAAGCAAAGUGCCCCUCCGCAAGAAAUGGGUCCUCUAAGAAAUAUCCAUAUAUUUUUUUCCACAAUACUGCUUU